Molecule: transfer RNA, 73 nt
Filed under: Nesterenkonia halotolerans
Lineage: Bacteria; Bacillati; Actinomycetota; Actinomycetes; Micrococcales; Micrococcaceae
Also listed under: 1 other name
Description: tRNA-Arg
Rfam family: tRNA
About the family: Transfer RNA (tRNA) molecules are approximately 80 nucleotides in length. Their secondary structure includes four short double-helical elements and three loops (D, anti-codon, and T loops).
Source: RNAcentral
GCCUCGGUAGCUCAGGGGAUAGAGCAGCGGCCUUCUAAUCCGCUGGUCGGGGGUUCGAAUCCCCCCCGGGGCA